CAUUACCUCUGAACUAGUGGAUGGCAAGUUCAAUUGUCAGAGUCGCUGCGCUUGUUAAAUCCGCCUCUCUCCUCCUGAUGCUCACGGAGGUGUCCAGAUCUAAUGGCACCAAGCAAGUCCAAAAGAUGCUGAAAUCUUUGUUAUGCCUGAAAUAUCGAUAACUUCACGAGGUAAACAUUGUAGUGUCUGUUGAGAAGAUGGAUGGCCAGCUGGUAGUGAUAUCGCCAUCAAAG
Leucoraja erinaceus (little skate) is the source of this 233-nucleotide long non-coding RNA. RefSeq lists it as uncharacterized. Lineage: Eukaryota; Metazoa; Chordata; Chondrichthyes; Rajiformes; Rajidae. The transcript is spliced from 2 exons. The record is from RefSeq and is a predicted model, not a curated record.